AGUGUGGCUUGCAAAUACUGCAUUCAGAUGGAUUAAACCAAAAUGUUGCAGCCUUUGGCAAAAAUUACUAAACAUUACGGUGGGAUUAAAGAAAAAAAAAAAGAAAAACAAAUAAAAAGUUUAAUAUUUUAGCCUAAAACUGCCAGAACUUAGCACACAGCGCCAUGCAGUUCUCUGCUGGCGCUGUCCCCUCUGCUCUCUCCACAGGUGACUGCAGCUGACUGGUGGGCGGGGCGCGCACACCUGCGGCUCGUUCUGCGAGUCAGCGCUGGAGCAAAAGAGCAGCGCUCAGACAGCCGGUGGAUGCCUGAGUGUUAGCAUCAGUGGUUUCCCGUGCCUUGAUCCAGCCGUGGCGCUUAUGCACUUGUCUUGCCAGACUUCAGAGGAAAACCAGUCAGUCUGACUCGCCAGAUUCCACCGGCUGUCCUCGACCACCUCGGGCGCUGCUCGGACCUCCCCUUGCUCCUUCAGCUCACCGCCGCUCAGUCACCAACCUCCAUCAGAGCCGAAAGCGCUAAGUUCCUCCUCCGCUCCACUUCCCCCGGUCCGGUCCCCGAACCUUGUGAUCCUCUCACCCCGGCUCCGUUCAGCCUUAAAUUCUGUGAUCAGCCAGCUCCGCUCCUGUAAAUAAAACCUUUAAACUGCUCAUUGUUG
Long non-coding RNA from Fundulus heteroclitus (mummichog), 654 nucleotides. RefSeq lists it as uncharacterized. NCBI's taxonomy places the organism in Eukaryota, Metazoa, Chordata, Actinopteri, Cyprinodontiformes, Fundulidae. The transcript has 3 exons. The record is from RefSeq and is a predicted model, not a curated record.